This 495-nucleotide ribosomal RNA is filed under the name uncultured bacterium. RNAcentral describes it as "partial 16S ribosomal RNA". It matches the Rfam family "Bacterial small subunit ribosomal RNA", at positions 29 to 506 of the family's 1533-position model. The record is from RNAcentral.
AUGCACGCUGGCGGCGUGCCUAAUACAUGCAAGUCGAGCGCACAGACGAGGAGCUUGCUCCUCUGACGUUAGCGGCGGACGGGUGAGUAACACGUGGAUAACCUACCUAUAAGACUGGGAUAACUUCGGGAAACCGGAGCUAAUACCGGAUAAUAUAUUGAACCGCAUGGUUCAAUAGUGAAAGACGGUUUUGCUGUCACUUAUAGAUGGAUCCGCGCCGCAUUAGCUAGUUGGUAAGGUAACGGCUUACCAAGGCAACGAUGCGUAGCCGACCUGAGAGGGUGAUCGGCAAAACUGAAACUGAGACACGGCCCAGAUCCCUACGGGGGGAAGAGGUGGGGAAUUUCCCCAAAGGGGGGAAAGCCUGAGGGGGCAACGCCGGGGGGGGGAGGAAGGGCUUCGGAUCGUAAAACUCUUUUAUUAGGGAAAAAAAAAUGUGAAAGUAACGAGGCCCGUCUGGGCGGUACCUAAGCAAAAAGCCACGGCUAACUGCGG